AGUAGCUGGAAUUACAGGUGCACACCACCACAUCCGGCUAGCUUUUGUAUUUUUAGUAGAGAUGGGAUUUCCCCAUCUUGGCCAGAUUGCUCUCAGACUCCUGAUGUCAAGUGAUCCACCUGCCUCGGCCUCCCAAAGUGCUGGGAUUACAGGUGUGAGCCACGGCGCCCAGCCUAAUUCAAUGACUUUUGACAAACAUACAUGAUCAUUUGGUGCAUACCCUCAAAUGUAUAUAUUCCAAUUAAGACAGAAGACAUUUUCUCAUUUCCCAAUGUAUGUGAUUUCCCCUGACAAGUCAAUUCCACCCCCACCCUCCCAUAAUAAUCACUGUUCUGACUUCUCUCCCUGCUCUGGGGCUUCUUACAUACUGAAUUACAGAGCACGUCCUUUUUGCCUGGCUUCCUUCAUGCCAGGUGUGAAAUUCACGUCUAAGACUCAUCCCUGCUGUGACAUGUAUUAGAAGCGCAGCCUUCUUUCUUGUUCACUUUAAUGGUCUGAAAGUUUGUGCCCCAUCAAAAUUCCUAGGUUAAAGUCCUAACCCCCAUUGUGAUGGUAUUUGGAGGUGGGGUCUUUGAAAGCUGUUAGAUCAAGGAGGGGGAGCCUUUGUGAAUGGGAUGAGUGCACUUACAAAGGGGCCCCAGAGAGCUCUCUUGCCCUCUUUCUGCCAUGUGAGAACACCGUGAGAAGGCAGCCUACAACCUGGUAGAGGGCCCUCAUCAGAACCCAACCAUGCUGACACCCUGGUCUCGAACUUCCAGCCUACGAAAUGAGAGCUCCUCAAAGAGGGAACUGACAGCACUUUCUAAGGAAUGAAACACAAAUAUUGAAAAUCCAAGAGUGACUUCUGAACCUAUGAACAGCUCCUUCCUGUGUUCUAUUACACUGCCUUCCCCUUUUCAAGUUAAAAGAGACUGAGCAAUCACAUGCAAAGAAUUUGAUUAACAUCUACUAGAAACUCAGCCCUCUGUGAAUGCCAGAGGAAGGAGCUGGAAGGAGGAGAAGGAAAAGAGAAAAAAAGAAGAAGGAGAUGAGGGUUUCUAGAUGAAAUGGUGUGACUCUUUGGUAAGUGGACAGUGGAGGGGGAAGCCUGGUCCAGGGAAGGUGGGACAGUGAAUGAGACCCCAGGUGAGGUCAACAGGGGGCCAGGCACCUGGCUGAGGAUCUGCUGUUCACUUAGUUGUUUUCUAAGCUCAUUGGG
This 1198-nucleotide long non-coding RNA is filed under the name Homo sapiens (human). RNAcentral's name for it is "HSALNT0344255". The record is from RNAcentral. Lineage: Eukaryota; Metazoa; Chordata; Mammalia; Primates; Hominidae.